UAAAAGUUAGUUUAAAUUGUAGAAUGGCCGGCUGUUAACCGGAGGGUGGGACUUUUAG
Molecule: transfer RNA, 58 nt
Filed under: Heterakis gallinarum
Lineage: Eukaryota; Metazoa; Nematoda; Chromadorea; Rhabditida; Heterakidae
Description: tRNA-Asn
Source: RNAcentral